Molecule: long non-coding RNA, 890 nt
Organism: Anguilla rostrata (American eel)
Lineage: Eukaryota; Metazoa; Chordata; Actinopteri; Anguilliformes; Anguillidae
Exons: 3
Source: RefSeq, a predicted model, not a curated record
GUAGUGCUGAGGUCGUGAGAACCGAGCGAACCAGACUGCUUGCGGUCGGGCACUAAGCCAGUCAGUAAAUCCCCGCUGGCAGCACGGGUCGCGCAUUGGCCGCAGCAGUGCUCUCAGGAGAAGUAGCAGUGCGGUUACCAGAAAGGUUCCUCACUAGUGAAUGGCUUCCUAUGGUUACAAGGCAAGUUCACUAACCACCGAGCCAGUGCCACACUAUAGUCUGUUGUCCAUCAGCAGAGCUGUUCAGUCCUCGGAUGACUCAUCAUGUAUGCAGCUGCUGUCAUCCAAUCAGCAAGAGUCCCUGUUACACCUGAAGCCCACCAAUCCCAUGGUGAAGCUAUGGCCAAUUGUUGUCAAUGGCACUGACAGGGUUUGAUUCUGAACCAGGUGGUAUGCCACUGCACAAACGACUGGCACUUUCGGCUGUCAGGGAGGUCCGAGAAUUGGCAUUUUUGCUGCUUGGAAAAAAAAGUAUGCAGUUUGAAAAUGUAGUAAAAUGCAAACUCUUGCUAAUGCAAAGACAAGUUCCUGUUUACCUGUAGUUUGUAGUGCCUUCUUGUAGUGUGUUCUGUUUUGUUUGUCAGUAGCUCACUUAGUAUGGAAAAAUAAAUGCCACCACCUGUUCUGGCCUGUUAGGCAUGUUUGUUUUUUUUUCUCUAUGAAGGGCUUUUUUGGACCAUCUUUUUGGGAUUUUGUGGGUAGUGGUGCUGUGCUAUAUCCUGAGUGACAUUAAAAUUGUAUGUAAUUUGUCUAGACAAACUGGAUGUCCAUUGAGUCCCCAGAUACCAGCUUGUGUAAAGACAUAUUUGGCUUUUUCUUUGAUGAUAUAAGAUCACAGUCUAUCUCAGGUCAGUGUUCUCUUAAAAUCUAAAAGCUUGAAUUCGUACCCC